This 482-nucleotide ribosomal RNA is filed under the name uncultured bacterium. RNAcentral's name for it is "partial 16S ribosomal RNA". It matches the Rfam family "Bacterial small subunit ribosomal RNA", at positions 30 to 507 of the family's 1533-position model. The record is from RNAcentral.
AUUGAACGCUGGCGGCAUGCUUUACACAUGCAAGUCGAACGGUAACAGGCCGCAAGGUGCUGACGAGUGGCGCACGGGUGAGUAAUGCAUCGGAACGUGCCCAGUCGUGGGGGAUAACUACUCGAAAGAGUAGCUAAUACCGCAUACGAUCUAUGGAUGAAAGCGGGGGACCGUAAGGCCUCGCGCGAUUGGAGCGGCCGAUGUCAGAUUAGGUAGUUGGUGGGGUAAAGGCUCACCAAGCCAACGAUCUGUAGCUGGUCUGAGAGGACAACCAGCCACACUGGGACUGAGACACGGCCCAGACUCCUACGGGAGGCAGCAGUGGGGAAUUUUGGACAAUGGGCGCAAGCCUGACCCAGCAAUGCCGCGUGCAGGAAGAAGGCCUUCGGGUUGUAAACUGCUUUUGUACGGAACGAAACGGCUCUGGUUAAUACCCGGGGCUAAUGACGGUACCGUAAGAAUAAGCACCGGCUAACUACGUG